CUUUAUCUGCUCUCUUUCACUUCCUGUUAUGCUGUUCUUACUCUUUUCUUUCUUAUUUUGUUCUCUGACUUAUUGAUUAUCCUUGAGGGCUGCACUCGGAGAUGAGAGAUCAUUCUCCCUAUACCUGGAUAAAAUCCAAGGCCCUAGCAUCUCAUAGCAACACUCUCAAGCAGCUUUCUUACCAACUCUAGUUACUUACUCGUUUGGCUUUUUCUAUCUCUCGCACUCUACUGGUGUCAUCCUGCAGAGAAGACUGGUUCUGGGUUUAGACAUCAGUCCUAUAUCUCAUUCUAGUCUCUUAGCAGGUGGUAAACCUGACGGCUUAUUUGAAACAACAUCUAAAACUUUUCUCUGGCUGCGGGCACUCAACCUGGUUCCCCUCCUAAUCUGAUGAACUGCUAUACUCUCUAACAUAAGCACGAAACCUCUGAUAACCUCUCCUAACCAGUUUACGAGCCUAGAGGGCUGCUAUUACAUUUCAGACAUCUC
Molecule: long non-coding RNA, 489 nt
Filed under: Manihot esculenta (cassava)
Lineage: Eukaryota; Viridiplantae; Streptophyta; Magnoliopsida; Malpighiales; Euphorbiaceae
Description: long non-coding RNA (MESC_LNC000607)
Source: RNAcentral